CCCCUUUGGUGGAUGCUGACACCUGCCAUAACACUGGCUGAACUUGAGGAGCAAUGGCAAAGUAGAUCCCAGGACAGCAUCUUUGGGGCCCGAAGGAUUUGUUCUUCAGGCACUUUCUAAAGCAAAACAACUGGAUUCUCUGCUGCACACCUGCGGUCCUAAUCUCAACAGCAGGGACCCUGCAAAGGUGUCCAGGCCAUGACUUUAGACGACGACAGGAUCCAGACAAAACUCCGCCACAGCCGCUGUGCCACAGAGACCUGAACAGGGAGCUUUGGGACCUGGGUUUUGUGUUCCCUUUCCUUCCCCACCAAAUGUAGUAUAUAUAUUUGGUUAUAGAAAUCGUCGUUCUGUGUCAACAUCUUCAUGAGUAACAGUGAGCCUCGUGUCCAACCUGACAUUCCCACUGUAGCUCAGAUGGCCUCUGUAAGAACCCGCCCUUCAGCUCAGGAUACUUCCUGGCGCUGAACGAUGAAUACUCCACAUGAGAACGACUGAAGGUUCGCGUUCGUCUUGCCUUUCUUUCGGGGACAAAACACCCCUUCCUUUCUGUGCAAUUUUCUGAGUAUUUUCUAAUUGUCCCAUUUGUCUCCCGAAUAUACACAUCAAAUUAGCUACAGGGCCCAGGCCUAUCUUACAGAUAAAUUCUUACGAAGCAUUAUUAUUUAUUAAAUUAUUUAUUACCAUUAAUUUAUUUAAGUGGAAUUAAACUGUGGCUGUGAAUGAAUUUUCUUUGUACCUAAUGAGAUGAUAUGCUAUAGUAGGAAGAACUGGAUUUCGAGGGAAAAAUCUAAGUGUACAAGUAAAGGACUCUUUAUAAGCCCUUGUUAGCGGAGUAAAACUGGGCAACUCAUAAUUCCUGUUUAUCUGCUGCCCUAUGAAAUGUGAAUAAUCAUGCGUCCCUUGCCCAUUUCAUAUGUUUUUUAUGAAGAUCCAAUGAAAAAGGAAGUUAUUUUCGUAUGACAAGUAUCAAUGUCAGGAAUUCCUAUGCAGAUGGCACCCUCUGACUUCCACAUCCUUUUUCAGCAUGUGGUUUUCAUCAUCCUUUCUCUGUGUGUUAUAUGGAGCCUGGCUUCGGUUUCGAAAGUUUUGCUGUGUUGGAAACACCACAUGUAAAUUCCAUCCAGUCAUAGAGGAGAGCUUCAUUCUUCCUCAUUUCAUUAAGUAUGAACUGGGUGAUCACCGAGAGCAAACCACUGUUAGGGGGAAUAAAAGGGGCUUAGGGGACUUCGCAAGCCGCUUUUGCUUUCCGAAAGUAUGACAUGUCAUGAUGAAGCUGUGCAUCCAGCUCUCCAUACCCUGCGCCCCAGUGACAGCGUGCGUCCACUAUUACCAAGGAGCUCUCCAUACCCUGCACCCGAGUGACAGCACGUGUCCACUAUUACCAAGCAGCUCUCCAUACCCUGCACCCGAGUGACAGCAUGUGUCCACUCUUACCAAGGAGCUCUCCAUACCCUGCACCCGAGUGACAGCACGUGUCCACUCUUACCAAGGAGCUCUCCAUACCCUGCACCCGAGUGACAGCACGUGUCCACUCUUACCAAGGAGCUCUCCAUACCCUGCACCCGAGUGACAGCACGUGUCCACUAUUACCAAGCAGCUCUCCAUACCCUGCACCCGAGUGACAGCACGUGUCCACUCUUACCAAGGAGCUCUCCAUACCCUGCACCCGAGUGACAGCACGUGUCCACUAUUACCAAGGAGCUCUCCAUACCCUGCACCCGAGUGACAGCACGUGUCCACUCUUACCAAGGAGCUCUCCAUACCCUGCACCCGAGUGACAGCACGUGUCCACUAUUACCAAGCAGCUCUCCAUACCCUGCACCCGAGUGACAGCACGUGUCCACUCUUACCAAGGAGCUCUCCAUACCCUGCACCCGAGUGACAGCACGUGUCCACUAUUACCAAGCAGCUCUCCAUACCCUGCACCCGAGUGACAGCACGUGUCCACUCUUACCAAGGAGCUCUCCAUACCCUGCACCCGAGUGACAGCACGUGUCCACUAUUACCAAGCAGCUCUCCAUACCCUGCACCCGAGUGACAGCACGUGUCCACUCUUACCAAGGAGCUCUCCAUACCCUGCACCCGAGUGACAGCACGUGUCCACUAUUACCAAGGAGCUCUCCAUACCCUGCACCCGAGUGACAGCACGUGUCCACUCUUACCAAGGAGCUCUCCAUACCCUGCACCCGAGUGACAGCACGUGUCCACUAUUACCAAGCAGCUCUCCAUACCCUGCACCCGAGUGACAGCACGUGUCCACUCUUACCAAGGAGCUCUCCAUACCCUGCACCCGAGUGACAGCACGUGUCCACUAUUACCAAGGAGCUCUCCAUACCCUGCACCCGAGUGACAGCACGUGUCCACUCUUACCAAGGAGCUCUCCAUACCCUGCACCCGAGUGACAGCACGUGUCCACUAUUACCAAGGAGCUCUCCAUACCCUGCACCCGAGUGACAGCACGUGUCCACUCUUACCAAGGAGCUCUCCAUACCCUGCACCCGAGUGACAGCACGUGUCCACUAUUACCAAGCAGCUCUCCAUACCCUGCACCCGAGUGACAGCACGUGUCCACUCUUACCAAGGAGCUCUCCAUACCCUGCACCCGAGUGACAGCACGUGUCCACUAUUACCAAGGAGCUCUCCAUACCCUGCACCCGAGUGACAGCACGUGUCCACUCUUACCAAGGAGCUCUCCAUACCCUGCACCCGAGUGACAGCACGUGUCCACUAUUACCAAGCAGCUCUCCAUACCCUGCACCCGAGUGACAGCACGUGUCCACUCUUACCAAGGAGCUCUCCAUACCCUGCACCCGAGUGACAGCACGUGUCCACUAUUACCAAGCAGCUCUCCAUACCCUGCACCCGAGUGACAGCACGUGUCCACUAUUACCAAGCAGCUCUCCAUACCCUGCACCCGAGUGACAGCACGUGACCACUCUUACCAAGGAGCUCUCCAUACCCUGCACCCGAGUGACAGCACGUGUCCACUAUUACCAAGGAGCUCUCCAUACCCUGCACCCGAGUGACAGCACGUGUCCACUAUUACCAAGCAGCUCUCCAUACCCUGCACCCGAGUGACAGCACGUGUCCACUCUUACCAAGGAGCUCUCCAUACCCUGCACCCGAGUGACAGCACGUGUCCACUAUUACCAAGGAGCUCUCCAUACCCUGCACCCGAGUGACAGCACGUGUCCACUCUUACCAAGGAGCUCUCCAUACCCUGCACCCGAGUGACAGCACGUGUCCAUUAUUAUCAAGGAGCUCUCCAUACCCUGCACCCGAGUGACAGCACGUGUCCACUCUUACCAAGGAGCUCUCCAUACCCUGCACCCGAGUGACAGCACGUGUCCACUAUUACCAAGCAGCUCUCCAUACCCUGCACCCGAGUGACAGCACGUGUCCACUCUUACCAAGGAGCUCUCCAUACCCUGCACCCGAGUGACAGCACGUGUCCACUAUUACCAAGCAGCUCUCCAUACCCUGCACCCGAGUGACAGCACGUGUCCACUAUUACCAAGCAGCUCUCCAUACCCUGCACCCGAGUGACAGCACGUGACCACUCUUACCAAGGAGCUCUCCAUACCCUGCACCCGAGUGACAGCACGUGUCCACUCUUACCAAGGAGCUCUCCAUACCCUGCACCCGAGUGACAGCACGUGUCCAUUAUUAUCAAGGAGCUCUCCACACCCUGCACCCGAGUGACAGCACGCAUCCACUAUUACCAAGGAGCUCUCCAUACCCUGCACCCGAGUGACAGCGUGUGUCCACUAUUACCAAGGAGCUCUCCAUACCCUGCACCCAAGUGACAGCACGUGUCCACUGUUACCAAGGAGCUCUCCACACCCUGCACCCGAGUGACAGCACGUGUCCACUCUUACCAAGGAGCUCUCCAUACCCUGCACCCGAGUGACAGCACGUGUCCACUCUUACCAAGGAGCUCUCCAUACCCUGCACCCGAGUGACAGCACGUGUCCAUUAUUAUCAAGGAGCUCUCCACACCCUGCACCCGAGUGACAGCACGCAUCCACUAUUACCAAGGAGCUCUCCAUACCCUGCACCGAGUGACAGCACGUGUCCAUUAUUAUCAAGGAGCUCUCCAUACCCUGCACCCGAGUGACAGCACACAUCCACUAUUACCAAGGAGCUCUCCAUACCCUGCACCCGAGUGACAGCACGCAUCCACUAUUACCAAGGAGCUCUCCAUACCCUGAACCCGAGUGACAGCAUGUGUCCACUAUUACCAAGGAGCUCUCCAUACCCUGCACCCGAGUGACAGCAGGUGUCCACUAUUACCAAGGAGCUCUCCAUACCCUGCACCCGAGUGACAGCAGGUGUCCACUAUUACCAAGGAGCUCUCCAUACCCUGCACCCGAGUGACAGCACGUGUCCAUUAUUACCAAGGAGCUCUCCAUACCCUGCACCCCAAUGACAGUGUGCGCCCACUAUUACCAAGGAGCAAGGUGAGAGGCCUCGGGGUCAGGGGCCACCAGGUGUGCAUCCUGACCUGGCUGUGACACGCGGGGGAGGCUGAUCUUCCAGGUGAGGGUGGAGACUUGGGGUGCCAUCCUGUGCCAUGCAUCGGAGCAGGGAGGAGACAAAUGUGGCUGUGGGACCCAGGAUGUGAGGUGAGCUGGAAAGCCCAGCCUGCACCUCGGCUUUUCCGUAAGCAAUGAAGUCGUGGAUGAUUUCUGGGCCAGGGGCAGCAGGGUCCUGAGGAAGAAUCUCAUAGGAGGGAGAGUGAGCAGGAGCUUGGUAUCCUCAGUACUGAACCAUGCUCAGAGAAAUCCAAUCCUCAUAAAAUCUAUGUAUAGAACGGUGUCAAAUCCAAUCGCCCAUGGUGAUUUUAGGUAUUAAAACAGAUUUUUUGGAGAGCGGUUGCUAAGUAGGCUGAAGGCUGCCUUAAGGAGCACGUACGUGUGUGGUUCCUGACGUGUGAGCCUUGGCGGGUGCACACACCUCACUAAAGCGGUGAAUUAAAGUGUGAAGGACACCAUAUCUAAGAAUUUAAAUGUCUAAGCACCUAAGGUGGACCUCAUGCAGAACAUCAUAUGGCAACCACCCUUAUCUAAGUUGUAAGCCCUGCAGCAGAUGCCUGAAACCAUGGACAGAAACAAACCCCAGCCAAGACCCUCUGCAUGGCACAGCUGGCAAUGACAAAAUGCAAGUGGGGCCACCCCACACUCACCCCACCCCCACCAAACCCUCUCAGCCUUGUGGCAGAGCCUGGCCUGCUCCCAUGGUUCAGCAGAGGGCAGAGUGUGUUGCUCUCAGCGAAUGGAACCCCUGCAUUCCCCUAAGGGAGUGGCAAAAGGCUGUCCAACAACUCAUGAAGAACUUGCUCCCUCAGCCUUUCUGAGGGUGAACUUGGGUCCGGUUCCAGUGGGUGGAUGGAAAUGAAGGAAUACCAUGAAGGCUUUCCUUCCCGGAGAUGGAACCACGGUGCUUCUUCAGGGGUGGUGCCCCAUUUCCCUUCUUUCCUACCUAAAAAGAAGAUAUGUUAUCUUGAAAUACAGCCACCAUUUUGCAAAUAUAAGGCAAUGAACAUGAGGAUAAAACCCACAAGCUAAGGAUGGUGCCACGGGAGGACGGAAAGAUACUGGGAGAAAACCACAGCAAACAGCCGGAUUUCUCGUUCAGUGAGAAGAGCAAGCCCUAUUCACUCAAACCACCGUAAGCUGAGAGGAUUUCACAGCACACACGGCCCCUCCUGGACGGAGUCCCCAGGUUUUCACAAUGCCAGCACCCCAGGGCCACACACGCUGACAAAAGGACCCACGGCAGGGCUUGGGCCACGCUGACAAGUUUCCUUCUGAACAGCACCUGCUGCCUCUGAGGCUGAGACUGCCUCUGGGUUUCGGGGCUUGCUGGCCCCUAAUUCCUGAUUAAAUGGAAUCCCAUCUGCUGCAAGUUUAACGGCAGGUUUGUAAGCUUGCUCAAAAAGGAGAAAAAUGUGUUGCUGACCUGACUCUUAAAUGUCCUUCUGCCGAAAAAGAAUCUUUACCCGGAUGCAAAUUUCAUGGCAACGCAUUCUGUGGAAACCUCUCUUCCCUGAGAACGUGUUCACAGCUGCUGUGGGGAAUCCAAAUCCCACUGGGGCAAUCUCUGCAGCAAAACAUGGUCUCCUGCACCACACAUGGCUGACCUGACCAUGACUGCCCUCACCACAACUGCCCUCACCACACCCACCUUCAGAUGACCUGACCAUCGCUGCCCUCACUGCACCCACCUUCAGAGGACCUGACCAUCACUGCCCUCACUGCACCCACCUUCAGAGGGCUCAUGGUUAAGGCUUCCCCAGCCUGGGACCUCCAGCCUCUUCAGGGCACUCUACCUGCAUACUGGGCUUAUGGUUUGGGUAAAAUUGGGUGAAAUGAGUAAGAAUGUUUAGAGAAAAAGUAUGAGCUUAUUCUGUGCUUUUCACCCAGAACCUCCACAUUUCUGGUGGAGCGUGGAGAGAAGCAUGUCCCCUCCAGGGACACAGCCAGGGGUCCCCUGCAGUGGCUGUGCUUUCCGGUGUGAGGCACAUGAGGUCAUAAGGCCACCCGCUUGCCCACUCUGUCUUGCUUCCUGUUCCCCUGCAGGCCUCAAGGACAUAAGCUAACCGCCCCACCCCCCGACACGGACCGCAUGUCCAGGUGCCCCUUGCUCUGGAGAGCAGGGGAGGAGUGGCCUGAGGCUGCACACCCAGGAGCUGCUGGACCAGGUGGGAGGAGGCCAGCCACAAGGAUGCAGAAUCCUCCCGAUAGGGAGACAGAUGCAUGGAGUUUACCGCAGGGGGUUCAUUAUGUCCAAAAUCGAAUUGUAUGAGAAACAGUCUACCCGAUAGUGGAAUGUGUGGCCAGAAAUCCCACCCUCACUUUUCGAUUCUACACAGAGUAAUCUCUCCCUAUGAAUGUCAGUUAUUCUUGUGAUUAUUCCCAUAGCCAGUGUUUCAUUUCAGGGAUGGAGGUGGUAGUCAGUGCAGUACCACCAGCUGCCAAGUGCAGAACGGACGGCGUUUCAGCCCCACCUGAGCGCGGUCAGCUAGUCCUGCAACAGGCUCAUUACGUUCUUAGGCUCAGAGACUUGUGUAUCAGAUACUUCAACGAACACCAUGGACUUCUCCAUCUAUAUGUAAUUCUCCUCGAUUUUUAAAAUACCUUAAAAUCAGCAUUCAAACCCCUGAAUCAUCAAUAUCUUUAGAGGGGGGAUAACCUGAUACCUCAAACAGAGAAUUAGUGUCUCUCUUAAGGGCCAGAGGGAUCAGCAGAGGUUAAAAAGGGCAGCCUCAGAUCAGGGCAUAAGAAGCAUCCUUUGAAACAAGACACAGCUACAAAAAUAAAACGGAAGUUUAGGUAAUCGAGCAAAACACAUAUCUGCUGAUUUUUAUCAUUUUCAGUAAUUUGUUAUCUCACAAAUGGCUGUGAUGCAUACACAGGUCAUUUUGGCUGUUUUUACCUGCUUGGUCUUCGAAUAUUUUUGAUAUGACGACAGGGACGUUGUGCUCAGAACCUCCCUGAAAGACAAAGCCAUCAGAAAGAAACGUGGUUAUCAUGAUUCACACUGGAAAGUUCUUCAAAAAUAAAAAGCAGGAAUAGAGAAAACCAUUUCCAUACCUUUAUACUCAGGCCCAAGCCGCCAACUGGCUGUCUGCGGAGUGUAACAGUUCUGCGCUUUAAAACAUUUUAGAAAACAAACCAAGUUUAGGUUAAAAUGCACUAUCAGAAAGUGAAUUCAAAAGAAAUUCUUCAUUUAAACCCAAAUACGUGUUAAAUUAUAUUUCCAAAGCAACUUUGGCUAAAUAUGACAGUAAUGACACUAUUUCAAAUCUUUACUCCGUGGUAUUGCACGUAUGAAAACGAAGACAGUGAUAAAGAAUAGGCCCCAUUCCAGGCAUUGUCUGAAAUCCAGGAAGAAUCCCCACAGAACUGUCAUCCCGUCUGCAUUCUGCUUGUGAGGAACGGAGCUCCAUGAAGAAACGAGGGGUCCACCUUCUCCCAGGUGGUGAAAGGGAAGUGGGGCGGAGCACUCAGUCCUGUUUUAGAACCGCUCUCUACCCACCAACCCCAGGACCGGCUCACGCUUCACUGUACGUCUCUGCUGAAGUCAGCCGUGUUUAGGACAAUCUUCAACCAAUAUUAAUUCAUGAAUGAUCCAUUUUUUCACGUCCUCUGACCACAGAUGUCUGGGAUAUUUAAGGGUAGGUUGUGAUAAAAAGCUAAAAGCACAAUAGGCCUUUAACUGGCUAGUGAAAUGGUAAAAAAUCUCCAAAUCUCUUGCGCAUUAAGCCAUGCACCUAUGUUUUGCUGUGGUCUAAUCUGAUGAAUGCGACUGUUGCCAACUUCAGGUAGACAUGAGUGACUGGUGCUGCUCUGAGGGGGCGCACAGAGGCAGCCUGGGGUAGACGGACAGUGGCCAAAGGGUGCUUUUACCUCAAAAAUACACUACAGGAAAAACAGAAGUGACAGACAUUCUUUGAGUUCUAAGAGGAAACAUGAGCAUGUUCAGGCUGAAUGGCUCUGAAAGGAAUCUGCUGUGCAAAGCAAGGACAAAGAAGUAAAAGGGUGGCAGAGCCCACGCCGAAGGGGGGACCUGGGAGCUCCCGCCCCGGCCAGCGGUGCAGGUGCAGAUGCAGGGAGGCUGCUGUGAGGGCUUCCGCAGCCUGAGAUACCCCAGGAAUGUCCUUCUUAGGGGGAAAUACUUCAUAAACUCAAAGGAAAGAAACCAAAAAUUAGAGCAAAUAUACCUGUGUUAAAGUGUGUAUAUGGGGACACAGCAAAUAAUACUUUAAUUGGAAAUUUUACCAUUUCGAUCCUUUUUGGACAUAUAGUAUUUUUAACUGACAAAAAUAAUUUUAUACACAGAAAAAGAGCCGUAUUUCGGGGGCUUUGCUACAGAGUGAUCGUUUUGGCUUUUUCUUGGUGUUAGACUGUAUUCCAGAUACUGUGAACAGCAAAGUCAGAGCCACUCCUGGGACAUCCAUACCACGGGCUCUCAUUGCAUCCACAUUCUCAGUAUUUACCUGAAAUGCCACAGAUGCUUCCCAGUGACACUGCACCAAUGGACAGAGUAACAGGCUCUUAAACCUGCUCAUCAAAGCAUUACUGACAACAGCCAAGAUAUGGAUACAACCCAAGUGUCCACCAGUAGAUGCGAGAAUAAAGAAGAUGCAGUAGAUACACCGAAUGGAACAUCCUUCAGCCAUAAAGAAGGAAAUCCUGCCAUCUGUGGCAACAUGGAUGAGCCUGGAGGACACUGUGCCGAGUCGAAUAAGCCAGGCGCAGAAAGACAAAUACCACACGGUCUCCUGCAUGUGGAAUCUAAGGAUGUUGAACGCAGAAGCAGAGGGUAGAACCGUGUUUACCAGGGGCGUUCAGGGUUGGGGGGCGGAGGUGCAGGCCAAAGGGUGCAACAUUUCAGCUGUAAGGUAAACAAGUUCUGUGGCUCUAAUGGAAAGCAUGGUGACUAUGGUUAAUAAUACCAUAUUUCCUUAAAAUUUGCUAAGAGAAUAAACCUUACAUGUCCUCACCACAAAAAACAAAGGUAACUGUAAGAGGUGAUGUAUGUAUUAGCUUGUUUGUAGUGUGCAUUUCACAAUGUAUAUGCAUAUGAGAACAUACCCUGUACACCUUAAGCAUGUACAAUUUUUAUUAGUUGUAGCUCAAUAAAGCUGAAUAAAUAAAUCCC
RNAcentral lists this long non-coding RNA (9669 nucleotides) under Homo sapiens (human). RNAcentral's name for it is "HSALNT0025935". Lineage: Eukaryota; Metazoa; Chordata; Mammalia; Primates; Hominidae. The record is from RNAcentral.